GGUCCUGUGGUGUAGUGGUUAUCACGUCUGCUUUACACGCAGAAGAUCGCCGGUUCGAUCCCGGCCAGGACCU
Molecule: transfer RNA, 73 nt
Organism: Caenorhabditis elegans
Lineage: Eukaryota; Metazoa; Nematoda; Chromadorea; Rhabditida; Rhabditidae
Source: Ensembl